GAAUUAGCAACUUGAUCUCUGAACUUCAGGUAAGUUCACGUGGACACUAUAUCAAUCCUGAUGCA
Non-coding RNA from Triticum urartu, 65 nucleotides. Lineage: Eukaryota; Viridiplantae; Streptophyta; Magnoliopsida; Poales; Poaceae. The record is from Rfam.